Molecule: ribosomal RNA, 910 nt
Filed under: uncultured bacterium
Lineage: Bacteria
Description: bacterial SSU rRNA
Rfam family: Bacterial small subunit ribosomal RNA
Source: RNAcentral
CAUGCAAGUCGAGCGGGUAGCAAUACCAGCGGCGGACGGGUGAGUAACACGUAAACAAUCUGCCCUGAAGCGGGGAAUAACUAUCCCAACGGAUAGCUAAUACCGCAUAAUGAUGGAGGUGGCAUCACCUCUUCUCAAAAGGCUUCGGCCACUUCAGGAUGAGUUUGCGUCCCAUUAGCUUGUUGGCGGUGUAAUAGACCACCAAGGCAACGAUGGGUAUCCGGCCUGAGAGGGUGUACGGACACAUUGGGACUGAGAUACGGCCCAGACUCCUACGGGAGGCAGCAGUAGGGAAUUUUGCGCAAUGGGGGAAACCCUGACGCAGCAACGCCAUGUGUGGGAUGAAGCAUUUCGGUGUGUAAACCACUGUCAGCGGGGAAUAAAUGGCCUCUUCGGAGGCAGUUGAAUGUACCCGCAAAGGAAGCCCCGGCUAACUUCGUGCCAGCAGCCGCGGUAGUACGAGGGGGGCAAAUGUUGUUCGGAAUCACUGGGCGUAAAGGGAGCGUAGGCGGGCUCUUAAGUUAGGUGUUUAAUCCCGGGGCCCAACCCCGGACAGGCACCUAAAACUGGGAGUCUUGAAUAGUGGAGAGGUCGGCGGAAUUGGGGGUGUAGCGGUGGAAUGCGUAGAGAUCCCCAAGAACACCAGUUGCGAAGGCGGCCGACUGGACACAUAUUGACGCUGAGGCUCGAAAGCAUGGGGAGCAAACAGGAUUAGAUACCCUGGUAGUCCAUGCCAUAAACGAUGAAUACUAGGUUUUGGGGCCCGUCAACGGUCCAGAGCCGCAGCUAACGCGUUAAGUAUUCCGCCUGGGGAGUACGGUCGCAAGACUGAAACUCAAAGGAAUUGACGGGGGCCCGCACAAGCGGUGGAGCAUGUGGUUUAAUUCGACGCAACGCGAAGAACCUUACC